Molecule: transfer RNA, 56 nt
Filed under: Trichinella spiralis
Lineage: Eukaryota; Metazoa; Nematoda; Enoplea; Trichinellida; Trichinellidae
Description: tRNA-Cys
Source: RNAcentral
GGAAGGAUUAGUAUAAUUAAUUACAUAAGAUUGCAAGUCUUAGAAUUGAUUCUUCU